This 406-nucleotide ribosomal RNA is filed under the name uncultured bacterium. RNAcentral describes it as "partial 16S ribosomal RNA". It matches the Rfam family "Bacterial small subunit ribosomal RNA", at positions 28 to 526 of the family's 1533-position model. The record is from RNAcentral.
GACGAACGCUGGCGGCAGGCCUAACACAUGCAAGUCGAACGAGUGGCGGACGGGUGAGUAAUGUCUGGGAAACUGCCUGAUGGAGGGGGAUCAAUACUGGAAACGGUAGCUAAUACCGCAUACCAUCAGAUGUGCCCAGAUGGGAUUAGCUUGUUGGUGGGGUAACGGCUCCCCAGGGCGACGAUCCCUAGCUGGUCUGAGAGGAGGACCAGCAACACGGGAACUGAAACACGGUCAGACCUCCUACGGGAGGAAGCAGUGGGGAUUAUUGCACAAUGGGCGCAAGCCUGAUGCAGCCAUGCCGCGUGUAUGAAGAGGGCCUUCGGGUUGUAAAGUACUUUCAGCGGGGAGGCGUUACCCGCAGAAGAAGCACCGGCUAACUCCGUGCCAGCAGCCGCGGUAAUAC